CCACAGGUCAGGACAGUUUCUGUAUGUUUGCUAUUCUUAAAUAAGUAAUGCCAGCAGGUUGACAAAAUUCCAGCCAUGACUGUGGUAGUUAAUAUCUUUCAAUAUAUAUUCCCAGUGUUGGUGGUGUCCAUAGCUGUGGUACUCCUCUGCUUCUAUCUGCACGCAAAAAAGAAAAGAGCAGCAUAUGACGUCACCA
Molecule: long non-coding RNA, 196 nt
Organism: Dicentrarchus labrax (European seabass)
Lineage: Eukaryota; Metazoa; Chordata; Actinopteri; Moronidae
Exons: 3
Source: RefSeq, a predicted model, not a curated record